AAGAACUUGACCGUUAUUCCAAGGUCUUAAAUAUCCUAGAUUCCGAGUAGUUCAGAUUAUCCCGAGGCUUUGAGAUCAAUGUUCUUGAUAUGUGAUUUCUUUUUUGAUUCAUUCUUUACUUUGUUGUACUUGAAGCAAGUACCUCACUGAGAGCUUUGUAUGUUCACGAAGUUCCACUACAAGGUUUCUUUUACCUGCGUUUCUUUCAGUUGUUGUGUUUAAUGUGCCUUGCAUAGUAGUGGAGAUGAAUUAAGCCUUAUGAAGCUCUAGCUCCUCUAGACUUGUCAUCCAUUUCAAUGAUUCACCAAUUGAGGGUACGGCAUUCUAAUCUGCUAAUUUUCACAUUGUUCCAUCAAGGAAAUGGUGUACGUAUUACAAGUAAAAAGUUGUUAUCCUUACUGUCCGCCAAGACUAUAGAAUUAAAGCUUGAAGGUUCAAGCUUGCACCUUAAUAUGCUAAAUUCCACAAAAACCAACUUUAGGUUACUGGCGAUUCUGGACGUGCAAUAUAGGAAAGAACUUGACCGUUAUUCCAAGGUCUUAAAUAUCCUAGAUUCCGAGUAGUUCAGAUUAUCCCGAGGCUUUGAGAUCAAUGUUCUUGAUAUGUGAUUUCUUUUUUGAUUCAUUCUUUACUUUGUUGUACUUGAAGCAAGUACCUCACUGAGAGCUUUGUAUGUUCACGAAGUUCCACUACAAGGUUUCUUUUACCUGCGUUUCUUUCAGUUGUUGUGUUUAAUGUGCCUUGCAUAGUAGUGGAGAUGAUAAUGAGAGUUAAAUAGUGGACUGGUGUAUUGUUAUUUUGUUUUUGCAAACCUUUUAUAGACUCUGGAGUUGUAACUUAAAUGAGUAUGGUGAUAAUAGAUUAUUUUGUCUAAAGGAUUAGCGAUUUGGUAAAUUCCAUAACGAGGCAUGUUUCUACUUUGGCCAAACUUACUACUUUCUUUUCUUUUAAGUUCAGAAAUGAUACAGUUACCGAGCAUCGGGUGAGGUAAAAAUUCUAUCGGCAAGCGCUCCCCCGUUAAAUAAACCUUAUGCGGUGCCAGUUUGGAUUAAUCGAGACCCAAUGCACAUACUUGCAUGAGAAGCAAAAGAAAAAUGCACUUACAGUUGAUGGGUAUUCUUUCACAAAGUUUUCAGCUAGUAAUAGAAAUAUCUUUCUUACGUAUGAAACCUCAGCGAAAUUUGCUUGUAAAAUAUACUUCAC
RNAcentral lists this long non-coding RNA (1203 nucleotides) under Capsicum annuum. RNAcentral describes it as "long non-coding RNA (CANN_LNC019602)". The record is from RNAcentral. Lineage: Eukaryota; Viridiplantae; Streptophyta; Magnoliopsida; Solanales; Solanaceae.